GAUGAACGCUAGCGGCAGGCUUAAUACAUGCAAGUCGAGGGGCAGCAUAAGUAGCAAUACUUGAUGGCGACCGGCAAACGGGUGCGGAACACGUACGCAACCUUCCUUUAAGUGGGGAAUAGCCCGGGGAAACCCGGAUUAAUACCCCGUAAUAUUAUGAUGUGGCAUCACAUUAUAAUUAUAGAUUCAUCGCUUAAAGAUGGGCGUGCGCCUGAUUAGGUAGUUGGCGGAGUAAUAGCCCACCAAGCCUGCGAUCAGUAACUGGUGUGAGAGCACGACCAGUCACACGGGCACUGAGACACGGGCCCGACUCCUACGGGAGGCAGCAGUAAGGAAUAUUGGUCAAUGGACGCAAGUCUGAACCAGCCAUGCCGCGUGGAGGAUGAAGGUCCUCUGGAUUGUAAACUUCUUUUAUUUGGGAAGAAUGUGAUGAUUCUUUAUCACUUGACGGUACCAGAUGAAUAAGCACCGGCUAACUCCGUGCCA
RNAcentral lists this ribosomal RNA (486 nucleotides) under uncultured bacterium. RNAcentral's name for it is "bacterial SSU rRNA". It matches the Rfam family "Bacterial small subunit ribosomal RNA", at positions 28 to 510 of the family's 1533-position model. The record is from RNAcentral.